CCGCUCUCCAUGCACUGCUCCCUUUGCAAACAAUUAAGCAAAAUCAAUGAAAAGGCACGAAUAGGAAAUCGGCAGACGCCAGCUACACACCAAUCUUCUUCCAGAGUCUGUCUCUGCCUCCAUUUUUUUGGGGAGUUUCAUCACUUAAUUGUCAACAGUUCCUGUCCUGCAUUUUUGGCUCCCAUGGGCAGGAGGAGACCCAAAAGCCAGCGAGCUCUCGAAUUAAAGCACACUGAACAAAGAGGAUUUAUAAUCAUAGAAUCAUUUCGGUUGGAAAACACCUUUGAGAUCAUCAAGCCCAGAUGCAAACCUAACCCUGCCAAGUCCAUCAUUAAAUGCUUAGGCUGGGCUUUCACACAAAUGGACACUGCUGUCACACAUAAAAGAGAAAGAAGGUGGCAAACACUUCGUAGAGGAACUGGCACAGCAGCUUUUAAGGAGAGGCUGCAGGUCAAACUCAUUUGUAGAAGAAUGAGUUUGACUCAUUCAUUGAGGUGUUUUAAUGUCCCCGUAGAUAAAAAUCUAACCAGGAGUUGUUUUAUAAGAAGACAACUCCAUUUAUUUCCUGAGAAGGGAAUGAGAAAUCAAAUUAUGUGGUAAAAAACCGGUGGUUUCAGGGAAUGCCUCUGAAGAGCUCCAAGCCGUGAAGAUUUUCUUCUUGGGCACUUCAACUACAUAUCUUUUACAAGAAUGCCAUGUAAAUGAAGAGCAUUGAGACCUGUGUCGGUGCAGUGUUUGCUGUGAAUGGCCUUGCAAAUCAGAGAAGGGUGUGAAGAGAGGAACAAAGCAAACCCGUUAAACACAAUGUGCUGCAUUUUGCCUACUUGGAAGGCGAAAAACUUCAACGCCAUAGAAAAUCACCCGUGCUUUUGAUUUGUAAUGGAAGCAGCCCUGCGGUAUGUGACCUUCCAAAUACCUGUAAAUAGCACAAGCAUCCUUGUCCGGUGUUAAAACUGUAUAUUUCUUACUAGAAAUUGACAGCAACAGGUUGGUUCCUUACACAUCCUUUAGCUCUCCAGACCCAGCAGUGUGACUUGGCACCAGCACUGUGUUUUCUCACCUUUUCAGAAAUCAUCUUCAGAGCUGUGCCAUGUAUUUGCUAUGGAGUUCUGCUCUAUGCCUAAUGUUUCCACUCUGUAAAACACAAAGAAAAAUAAAGUAUGUUUUAAAAGGUUUGCAUGAAUGUGG
Molecule: long non-coding RNA, 1188 nt
Filed under: Melopsittacus undulatus (budgerigar)
Lineage: Eukaryota; Metazoa; Chordata; Aves; Psittaciformes; Psittaculidae
Description: lncRNA (ENSMUNG00000017480.1)
Source: RNAcentral